RNAcentral lists this unclassified non-coding RNA (432 nucleotides) under soil metagenome. Its description in RNAcentral is "partial contains 5.8S ribosomal RNA, internal transcribed spacer 2, and large subunit ribosomal RNA". The stretch from base 1 to 120 matches the Rfam family "5.8S ribosomal RNA", at positions 35 to 154 of the family's 154-position model. The record is from RNAcentral.
GAUGAAGAACGCAGCGAAAUGCGAUACGUAAUGUGAAUUGCAGAAUUCAGUGAAUCAUCGAAUCUUUGAACGCAUAUUGCGCUCUCUGGUAUUCCGGAGAGCAUGCUUGUUUGAGUAUCAGUAAACACCUCAACUUCCAUAUCUUUUUUGAAAUGGGAGUUGGACUUGAGUGAUCCCAACGCUUUUCCUUACCGAAAAGUGGCGGGUUACUUGAAAUGCAGGUGCAGCUGGACUUUUCUCUGAGCUAUAAGCAUAUCUAUUUAGUCUGCCUAAAAAACAGAUUAUUACCUUUGCUGCAGCUAACAUAAAGGAGAUUAGUUCUUGUGCUGACUGAUGCAGGAUUCACAAAGACGGCUUCGGCCGACUUUGUAAACUCGAUCUCAAAUCAAGUAAGACUACCCGCUGAACUUAAGCAUAUCAAUAAGCGGAGGA